Molecule: ribosomal RNA, 482 nt
Filed under: uncultured bacterium
Lineage: Bacteria
Description: partial 16S ribosomal RNA
Rfam family: Bacterial small subunit ribosomal RNA
Source: RNAcentral
GAUGAACGCUAGCGGCAGGCCUAAUACAUGCAGGUCGGACGGGAUUCAGGAGCUUGCUUCUGAUGAGAGUGGCGCACGGGUGCGUAACACGUAUGUAACCUACCUUUAUCAGGGGGAUAGCCUCUCGAAAGAGAGAUUAAGCCCGCAUAAAAUCACAGCACAGCAUUGUGUAAUGAUCAAAUAUUUAUAGGAUAAAGAUGGGCAUGCGGAACAUUAGCUAGAUGGCGGGGUAACGGCCCACCAUGGCGACGAUGUUUAGGGGAUCUGAGAGGAUGGCCCCCCACACUGGUACUGAGACACGGACCAGACUCCUACGGGAGGCAGCAGUAAGGAAUAUUGGUCAAUGGGCGGAAGCCUGAACCAGCCAUGCCGCGUACAGGAAGACGGCCCUACGAGUUGUAAACUGCUUUUAUACGGGAAUAAACCCAGAUACGUGUAUCUGGCUGAAUGUACUGUAAGAAUAAGAAUCGGCUAACUCCGUG